AUUGAACGCUGGCGGAAUGCUUUACACAUGCAAGUCGAACGGCAGCACGGACUUCGGUCUGGUGGCGAGUGGCGAACGGGUGAGUAAUACAUCGGAACGUGCCCAGUCGUGGGGGAUAACGUAGCGAAAGCUACGCUAAUACCGCAUACGAUCUAAGGAUGAAAGCGGGGGAUCGCAAGACCUCGCGCGAUUGGAGCGGCCGAUGGCAGAUUAGGUAGUUGGUAGGGUAAAGGCCUACCAAGCCGACGAUCUGUAGCUGGUCUGAGAGGAUGAUCAGCCACACUGGGGCUGAGACACGGCCCAGACUCCUACGGGAGGCAGCAGUGGGGAAUUUUGGACAAUGGGCGAAAGCCUGAUCCAGCCAUGCCGCGUGCAGGAUGAAGGCCUUCGGGUUGUAAACUGCUUUUGUACGGAACGAAAAGGUUUGGCCUAAUAAGCUGAGCUCAUGACGGUACCGUAAGAAUAAACACCGGCUAACUCUGUGCCAGCAGCCGCCGUAA
This 500-nucleotide ribosomal RNA is filed under the name uncultured bacterium. Its description in RNAcentral is "partial 16S ribosomal RNA". It matches the Rfam family "Bacterial small subunit ribosomal RNA", at positions 30 to 523 of the family's 1533-position model. The record is from RNAcentral.